This 156-nucleotide ribosomal RNA is filed under the name Aegilops tauschii subsp. strangulata. Its description in RNAcentral is "rRNA 5_8S_rRNA". It matches the Rfam family "5.8S ribosomal RNA". From Rfam's summary of the family: 5.8S ribosomal RNA (5.8S rRNA) is a component of the large subunit of the eukaryotic ribosome. It is transcribed by RNA polymerase I as part of the 45S precursor that also contains 18S and 28S rRNA. The record is from Rfam by way of RNAcentral. Lineage: Eukaryota; Viridiplantae; Streptophyta; Magnoliopsida; Poales; Poaceae.
GACUCUUGGCAACGGAUAUCUCGGCUCUCGCAUCGAUGAAGAACGUAGCGAAAUGCGAUACCUGGUGUGAAUUGCAGAAUCCCGCGAACCAUCGAGUCUUUGAACGCAAGUUGCGCCCGAGGCCACUCGGCCGAGGGCACGCCUGCCUGGGCGUCA